AACGAACGCUGGCGGCAUGCCUAACACAUGCAAGUCGAACGAGAUCUUCGGGUCUAGUGGCGCACGGGUGCGUAACGCGUGGGAAUCUGCCCUUUGGUUCGGGAUAACAGUUGGAAACGACUGCUAAUACCGGAUGAUGACGAAAGUCCAAAGAUUUAUCGCCAGAGGAUGAGCCCGCGUAGGAUUAGCUAGUUGGUGUGGUAAAGGCGCACCAAGGCGACGAUCCUUAGCUGGUCUGAGAGGAUGAUCAGCCACACUGGGACUGAGACACGGCCCAGACUCCUACGGGAGGCAGCAGUGGGGAAUAUUGGACAAUGGGCGAAAGGCUGAUCCAGCAAUGCCUCGUGGGUGAUGAAGGCCUUAGGGUUGUAAAGCUCUUUUACCCGGGAUGAUAAUGACAGUACCGGGAGAAUAAGCUCCGGCUAACUCCGUGCCAGCCGCCGCCGUAA
This 449-nucleotide ribosomal RNA is filed under the name uncultured bacterium. RNAcentral describes it as "partial 16S ribosomal RNA". It matches the Rfam family "Bacterial small subunit ribosomal RNA", at positions 29 to 523 of the family's 1533-position model. The record is from RNAcentral.